This 288-nucleotide ribosomal RNA is filed under the name uncultured microorganism. RNAcentral's name for it is "partial 16S ribosomal RNA". It matches the Rfam family "Archaeal small subunit ribosomal RNA", at positions 330 to 610 of the family's 1478-position model. The record is from RNAcentral.
GCGCAGCAGGCGAGAAUCCUCCACAAUGCGGGAAACCGUGAUGGGGGAAUCCGAGUGCCCGUUGGCUAAUGCUGGCGGGCUUUUCUCAAGCGUAAAAGGCUUGAGGAAUAAGGACUGGGUAAGACCGGUGCCAGCCGCCGCGGUAACGACCGGCGGUCCAACUGGUGAUCAGCAUUACUGGGCCUAAAGCGUCCGUAGCCGGAUGGUUGGAUUCUGAGUGAAAUUUCCCAGCUCAACUGGGGAAGCGUGCUUGGGAAACACCCCGCCAUCUUGGGACCGGGAGAGGUA